This 31-nucleotide non-coding RNA is filed under the name Rattus norvegicus (Norway rat). Lineage: Eukaryota; Metazoa; Chordata; Mammalia; Rodentia; Muridae. The record is from RNAcentral.
UGAACAAAGGGAGAUUAAAGGACUCCUUUGU